Molecule: RNA transcript, 3366 nt
Organism: Vigna angularis (adzuki bean)
Lineage: Eukaryota; Viridiplantae; Streptophyta; Magnoliopsida; Fabales; Fabaceae
Gene name: sister chromatid cohesion protein PDS5 homolog C
Exons: 15
Source: RefSeq, a predicted model, not a curated record
UUACUUUUAUUAUUGUUGUGUAUCUAUCCCGUUUUUCAUUAUCAGGAAAAGGGGGGGAAAACAAAAAAAUCAAAGAAGAACCCUAACAUCGUCCUUCCAUAUUCUAUUCUCAAAUCAGAUUUUGGAUUGGUGUGAUUUUUUAGGGCAUUAAUGGAGUGAAGCAUAAGAAAGUGGUGAGAGUCCCUGUAAGACCAGAAAAAGCAGAGAGGACACAACCAAUGGCGUCUGCAGAUAAACGAUUGGAAGAACAACUUCUCGAAGCCGGUAACAAGCUCGCAAACCCUCCGUCUUCUGCAGAGGAGCUUCUCUCACUCUUAGAGCAAGUAGAAAGUUGCCUGUCAAGGGUUGAACAGUCACCAACAGUUUCUAUGCAAAAUGCACUCUCUCCAUCAUUGAAAGCAAUGGUUGGUGACCAACUUUUAAGGCACUCAGAUAAUGAUGUCAAGGUUGCGGUUGCCUCUUGCAUCAGUGAAAUAACAAGAAUCAGUGCACCUGAUGCUCCUUAUGACGAUGAUCAAAUGAAGGAGGUCUUUCACUUGAUAGUAUCUUCACUUGAAAAUUUGCAUGACAAGUUAAGUCGAUCAUAUGCCAAGAGAAUCUCAAUUCUGGAAACUGUUGCAAAAGUCCGAUCCUGUGUGGUAAUGCUGGACCUUGAAUGUGAUGCCCUGAUUUCGGAUAUGUUUCAACAUUUCUUGAAAGGUGUAAGGGAACAUCAUCCAGAAAAUGUUGUUUUGUCCAUGGAAACAAUUAUGACCGUUGUUGUCGAGGAAAGUGAAGAUAUAUCCUUAGCCUUGCUGUCCCCACUACUGGACAGCAUUAAGAAAGACAAUGAGGAAGCUUUUCCAAUUGCCCAAAAAUUGGGGGAGAGGGUUCUUGAAAAUUGUGCAACCAAGCUUAAACCCUACUUGGUUCAAACAGUGAGAUCCUUGGGUGUAUCUGUUGAUGAUUAUAGUGCUGUGCUUGCUUUAAUAUGCCAAGAUACAUCUGAUGAUUUGGAAAAGAAUGAUACAUGUGUGACUAGUGAGCAUGCGGAAGAUAAGAGCGAUUCAGAAAAACAGUCACUGGAGAAGUCAACACAUGUGGUUAAAAAGGAUUCAAGGGAAGUUACAUCCUCUCAACGAGGAAAUCCUGAUGCAAAUAAAUCUCCUAACUCAGGCAUGAGCUAUGGUAUUGCAUGUGUUGGAGAAGAUACUGCUUUAGCUUAUUCCAAUCCCAUUAAAAAGAAAGAGGAUGCUGAUUGUUCCAACCACUCUGAAGGUUUGAAUAUAUCUGGUCAUGAGGUGGGUAGUGAUUUGGACACCAAAAAGGUUGACAAUAGUAAACAAAAGGCAGGAAAAGCUACCAAGAGACCACGAAAGAAAUCAAGCUCUUCUACUAAAUUGGCAAAACCUUCCAAGGAUCAAGUUGCUGCUAAUGAGAAGGAAGCUGUGAAAAUGCUUGACUGUGAAAGCAACAGUAAGAUAGUUCCCAGUUCCCCUCACAAGGAACAUUUUGUUGAAGCAGCAGGACCUUCAGACAGUAAUAAAGAAAUGGAUGCUAAGAUUUCAUCACCAGUGGCAGUAAAUGACGAAUCUGAAGUGGUUGCUUCUGCUCCAAGUGAGAGCCUCAAUGAUGAAAAUCGCUUGAAGAAACUUGGACGAUCAACAAAGGAAGAUGACUCUGUAAAAGAAGGCGCUGCAUAUGAUGUUUCUAAGGUGUCUGGAGGAGCUAGUGAUUCAGAAGCCAAACCUGUGACGCGGUCAGUGAAAAAGGCACUAGGUCAAAAGUCUUUGAAAAAAACUAGUGUGGUAGAUUCUGUAAAAAAAGAAAGUGGGGCAAUAAAUAAUGCAGAUGCUAAGAAAUACUCAGCAAAGAAAUUAGAAGAAAACAAAAAGGGUAGUGGUGGAUCCUCCUCUAGGCAGGCGGAAGACAGGAAAAAAGGAGGGCGUGGAAAAGCUAAGACUGAGACAGAUGUAGCAAAGUCAUCUGCUAUGAAUGUGGACAAAGAAAUAGUUACUACUCCGAGGUCUUGUACAAAAUCUGCCAAAGAUGCAAGUUCAGAGGAGACUCCCAAGGCAAAUGUGAAAAGGAAACUUACUUCAGGAAAAGAAAAUGAGUAUGAUACAAAGGAAUGUGGUGAAAACCUUGUCGGUUUACGGGUCAAAGUUUGGUGGCCUAAGGAUCGUGAGUUUUACAAGGGUAUUAUUGAUUCUUUUGAUUCUGCAAAAAAGAAGCACAAGGUAUCGUAUGAUGACGGUGAUGAAGAAAUAUUAAAUCUAGGGAAGGAGAAAUGGAAGGUCAUUGAAAAGGAUUCAGAUGCAGAUGAGGAAGAUCGGAGUGAUCGUGCAAGUCUUGAUGCUUCCAUUGAUAUGCAACCAAAGAAGAAAGGGAAAACAAGUGAUGGUGAAACCACCAAGCAGGGAAAGAUGGAUGUUUCUUCCAAAAGUGGUGGAAUAAAGACGAAUAGUAGAUCAAAAAGUGUAUCCCUGAAGUCUAGUCAAAGGUCCACAGAUGGCAACAAAUUGAAAGAUUCCAUGACAAAUAGCAAAUCUGAGGAUGGAGUUAAUAAAAAAUCUAAGGAAGACACUCCUAAAAGUUCUAGCAGUAAAUCCAUUGUUGCUACUAAAAUACUGAGUAAGAAAUCGAAAAAUACUGAUACUUCCAGGACUGGGGAAUUAAAUGAUGACUACAGUAGUGUGCCAAAGACGUCUUCCAAGUCUAAGCUAGAAAUUCUAAAAAGUGGAAAAUCCAAGAAAACAACCCCAAAGACUGCCGUUUCCAAAGAAAAACCUCUCAAAAGUGGUGGAAAGGCUGAUGUUAAUGGUACCGGCAAGGUGAAAUCUGAUUUAUUGAAGAUAAAAUAUUUUGAGAAUGAUAAUUCAGAUGUUUCAGAAGGAAAGCUAAAAGAUGCCAAGGUAAAGACUUCAAUUUCGUCUAAGGCACAAGGAAGUAAGGUCAAGAGUGGAAAGAAGCGUAGGAGAAGCUAGAUGUUGGAGUUUUUCAUGCUGUUUAUUCCUUAAUUGGGUGCUUUUAUUCGUAUCCUCAUAGCAUUUAACUCUUCUUUCUGUGGCUGGAGUGAUCAAAUGAGUUUAAGCAUGUAUAAGCAUAAUUGAUGUGGUGGAAGCUAUUAAAGUUGGUCAGUUGGGGACCCUAACCCUUUGUCUGGUGAUUGGUAGAGAAAAUGUGGGAAGAGAUGAAAGAAAUCAAUGGGGGAAAGAAGUAUUAACUUAUCAAGGGAAGGUGAAAAUUGAAAGGAAAGAAAUGAGAUAUUUUUUAUAUGUACCUCUUCUCUUAUUCUUCAUAAGUAAGAAUUGCAUGCUCUUUUUAAUUACACUCAAAUUUAGGUGGUACUCAUUUUAUUCAAAUCAAAUACCCUUUUUUUUCUCA